This 496-nucleotide ribosomal RNA is filed under the name uncultured bacterium. Its description in RNAcentral is "partial 16S ribosomal RNA". It matches the Rfam family "Bacterial small subunit ribosomal RNA", at positions 28 to 506 of the family's 1533-position model. The record is from RNAcentral.
GAUGAACGCUGGCGGCGUGCCUAAUACAUGCAAGUCGAGCGAACGGACGAGAAGCUUGCUUCUCUGAUGUUAGCGGCGGACGGGUGAGUAACACGUGGAUAACCUACCUAUAAGACUGGGAUAACUUCGGGAAACCGGAGCUAAUACCGGAUAAUAUUUUGAACCGCAUGGUUCAAAAGUGAAAGACGGUCUUGCUGUCACUUAUAGAUGGAUCCGCGCUGCAUUAGCUAGUUGGUAAGGUAACGGCUUACCAAGGCAACGAUGCAUAGCCGACCUGAGAGGGUGAUCGGCCACACUGGAACUGAGACACGGUCCAGACUCCUACGGGAGGCAGCAGUAGGGAAUCUGCCGCAAUGGGCGAAAGCCUGACGGAGCAACGCCGCGUGAGUGAUGAGGGUCUUCGGAUCGUAAAACCCUGUUAUUAGGGAAGAACAUAUGUGUAAGUAACUGUGCACAUCUUGACGGUACCUAAUCAGAAAGCCACGGCUAACUACGU